UGUCUGAUUCACCUUAACCUAGGAUGACCUACUAUAGCACGUCCAUGGCCGACUAAUCCUAAAUCACCCAAGGUCAACGUGCUCUCCACGAUCUCCAGACCUUGGCUUGGAACGAGCUAAAAUGGACGACUAAUCCCAAAUCACCCAAGGUCAACGUGCUCUCCACGAUCUCUAGACCUCGGCUUCGAACGAUCUAUUUUAGCUUGUCCGUAGUCGAGCUAAGCUCCUUAUCAC
RNAcentral lists this long non-coding RNA (234 nucleotides) under Elaeis guineensis (African oil palm). RNAcentral's name for it is "long non-coding RNA (EGUI_LNC019627)". The record is from RNAcentral. Lineage: Eukaryota; Viridiplantae; Streptophyta; Magnoliopsida; Arecales; Arecaceae.